CAUUAAAAGGCAUAGAUAAUUGACAAAAAAAAAAAAUUACUCGGAGCCAAACUAUUCGCUACAAUGGUUUAAGUAAUGUCGCAAAAGCACAGCAAAAGUUAAAAGAUAACUGCUAUUCGCUACAUAUAGGAACACAUCUCGUACUAGAGAUCUUUUUAGAAUUAACCUAGGUUAUUGACCGUGUCUCUGCCAAGAGUCAACUGCUCUUAGUUUCCCCUCUUUCCCUCUCAGAAGGAUAGUGAUUGAAGCCUCAAAAAUUGAUACCCAUCAAGAAGUUCCUGUAACAGAUCAUCUUCUUCCUCCUCCAAAAAUAGGUCUUCACUUCUUGACACUCUAUCUCCUCUUAUCUCAGUCACAAAAACCUUAAGACCUCCGAAAUCCAAAGGUAAGCUCUUUCUCGCUCCUUUCUUCUCUAACUUGCUAUUUUGUGUUUUCGACUGAUUCUGGGUUCGUUUUAUUUGUAUUUGGUUUCGUUAAUGCUUGUUUAAUUCGGAGGAUUAAUGGAUAAGGGGUCUUGAGAAUUAAUCCAAGUGCGAUAGAUUCAGUUUAAUUGUGUCUAUAUUUAAUUGAUAUGAUCAAUUUUUUGUUCGCUUCACAUAGUGCAGGAGACAACCCAAAACAAAUUAAGGUCUUCUAGAUAUUUGGGUGGCCUAGUUCUUCAUGUGAUCGAUGGGUAAACUAUAUGUUUUCUUUCAUUGUGAUAUUUGCAUAUUAGUAAUCAAAGUCUUUUUUUAUAUUUGGAAUUAGUAAUCAAAAUCUAAUAAUUGAAUGUCAACAGGAAAAAGCCCCAAUUCUUAUUUGUCUUGUCUACCCUAAUUUGAUCUAAUAAGCAAAGGGCUUUGAACUUCUAUUUGUGACAAGCACUCUCACUUGAGGGUUGGAAUCAAGAUUACAUACCGUACAUGCAUGUCCAUAUGAUUAUUUUGAAUAGUAAUAUUUGUAUAUGACAUUAGAAUAUUUUUUGUAUAAACAGUUAACAUCAUAUAUGAUGUUUAUUUGUUAUAAGUGAAAGGCAUUUAUAAUGUAAAUGCAAAUUGUGUUUACCUCUUUCUGCGACAGCCAUCUUGGCUGCUGUAAUUUUUUUUUAUUUACCUCACCAAGUAUUUGCGACGGAUAAAAAGCGUCGUAAUCUUGUCGCAAAAGGUUUUUACAACGUUUUUUUACGUGUCGCAUUUAAUGAUAAUUAUUUAUGACAUAAUUUCUUGCGACACUAAAAGAAACGUCGCAAAACCGUCGCAAAAGGUUAUUGCGACGCCACUUUAUGUGUCGUAAAAAGUGAAAAAGUAUUUGCUACGCGUUUUAUGCCGACGGUUCACCAAGCGUCGCAAAACCGUCGCAAAAGGUUAUUUACGACGCUUUUAGAUCUUUUUACGACAUUUUUCUUAUGUCGCAAAAAACCCCU
Long non-coding RNA from Rosa rugosa (rugosa rose), 1402 nucleotides. RefSeq lists it as uncharacterized. The transcript has 3 exons. The record is from RefSeq and is a predicted model, not a curated record. NCBI's taxonomy places the organism in Eukaryota, Viridiplantae, Streptophyta, Magnoliopsida, Rosales, Rosaceae.